This 708-nucleotide ribosomal RNA is filed under the name uncultured bacterium. Its description in RNAcentral is "bacterial SSU rRNA". It matches the Rfam family "Bacterial small subunit ribosomal RNA", at positions 48 to 724 of the family's 1533-position model. The record is from RNAcentral.
CUAAUACAUGCAAGUCGAGCGCGGGAAGCAGAAAGAUUCCUUCGGGAUGACAUCUGUGGAACGAGCGGCGGAUGGGUGAGUAACACGUGGGCAACCUGCCUGUAAGACUGGGAUAACUCCGGGAAACCGGGGCUAAUACCGGAUAAGACUUUAUCUCGCAUGAGAUAGAGAUGAAAGAUGGCUUUUAGCUAUCACUUACAGAUGGGCCUGCGGCGCAUUAGCUAGUUGGUGGGGUAAUGGCCUACCAAAGCGACGAUGCGUAGCCGACCUGAGAGGGUGAUCGGCCACACUGGGACUGAGACACGGCCCAGACUCCUACGGGAGGCAGCAGUAGGGAAUCUUCCGCAAUGGACGCAAGUCUGACGGAGCAACGCCGCGUGAGUGAGGAAGGUCUUCGGAUCGUAAAACUCUGUUGUUAGGGAAGAACACGUACGAGAGUCACUGCUCGUACCUUGACGGUACCUAACCAGAAAGCCACGGCUAACUACGUGCCAGCAGCCGCGGUAAUACGUAGGUGGCAAGCGUUGUCCGGAAUUAUUGGGCGUAAAGCGCGCGCAGGCGGCUUCUUAAGUCUGAUGUGAAAUCUCGCGGCUCAACCGUGAGCGGUCAUUGGAAACUGGGGAGCUUGAGUACAGAAGAGGAGAGCGGAAUUCCACGUGUAGCGGUGAAAUGCGUAGAGAUGUGGAGGAACACCAGUGGCGAAGGCGG